Molecule: non-coding RNA, 128 nt
Filed under: uncultured Oceanisphaera sp.
Lineage: Bacteria; Pseudomonadati; Pseudomonadota; Gammaproteobacteria; Aeromonadales; Aeromonadaceae
Description: Moco (molybdenum cofactor) riboswitch
Rfam family: Molybdenum/Tungsten riboswitch aptamer (Moco RNA motif)
Source: RNAcentral
CAAAAACUCCGAAGUUGGCUGCACCUAAGUUCUUCUUUGAAUAAGGUUCGCCAACCGCUCAGCUAGCCGCUGUAAGGGUAGAGAUAGAAAUGCCUCUGCCUCCCGUAUUGGAAAGGUGUUUUAUGCUG